RNAcentral lists this ribosomal RNA (254 nucleotides) under uncultured bacterium. Its description in RNAcentral is "partial 16S ribosomal RNA". It matches the Rfam family "Bacterial small subunit ribosomal RNA", at positions 524 to 776 of the family's 1533-position model. The record is from RNAcentral.
UACGGGGGGAGCAAGCGUUGUUCGGAUUUACUGGGCGUAAAGGGCGCGUAGGCGGCCACCGCAAGUCGACUGUGAAAUCUCCGGGCUUAACCCGGAAAGGUCAGCCGAUACUGCGGGGCUAGAGUGCAGAAGGGGCAACUGGAAUUCUCGGUGUAGCGGUGAAAUGCGUAGAUAUCGGGAGGAACAUCCGUGGCGAAGGCGACUACCUGGACCAGCACUGACACUGAGGCACGAAAGCGUGGGGAGCAAACAGG